Molecule: ribosomal RNA, 329 nt
Filed under: uncultured eukaryote
Lineage: Eukaryota
Description: partial 18S ribosomal RNA
Rfam family: Eukaryotic small subunit ribosomal RNA
Source: RNAcentral
CCCUUAGAUGUUCUGGGCCGCACGCGCGCUACACUGACGAUGGCAACGAGUUUUUCCUUCGCCGAAAGGUGUGGGUAAUCUUUUGAAACAUCGUCGUGCUGGGGAUAGAUCGUUGCAAUUUUUGAUCUUGAACGAGGAAUUCCUAGUAAGCGCGAGUCAUCAGCUCGCGUUGAUUACGUCCCUGCCCUUUGUACACACCGCCCGUCGCUACUACCGAUUGAAUGGUUUAGUGAGGACUCCUGAUUGGCGCCGCCGCCCCGGCAACGGAGCAGCGGACUGCCGAAAAGUUGUUCAAACUUGAUCAUUUAGAGGAAGUAAAAGUCGUAACA